GGAAGUAGGCCUCUUCUCUCUUCCUCCAGAGUCACCAUGUGAGCCAAGGAAGACAGGACACUUGCCACUAGCGUCCAAUAAGAGGACAUAGAUCUUUGGGAACUGACCGGUAUUUUGACUUUAUAUUCGUCUGUGUUGAGGACUGCACUUCGAGCAAUCUGAGAGCAACUUGAGUUUCGAAACAGCAAAGUGACCAGAGCAGAUAUUUGCUUCAAAGCCUCCUCUCUUGUGAUGGUGAUGAGCAGGAGAAGCAGACCUGGAGACCAGAAUGUGAGGGCAAGGAGUAUUGGGGAGGUAAUGCCAAGAAGACUGACAGGGGCGAGAAGAGGAGGAAAGCCAGCAUGGUGUGCAACAUUAAGCAAGUUGACACCAUGGGAAACCUACUCAGUUUCAUUGGGAACAGAGAAGAAUGUACCUUAGAAAUACAUCCUACAAGUAUGUGAAGAUAUUCGACAACUUCCAUCAUUGAGUCUUUGACAUUAUUGACAGAACGAUGUACAGAUUAACCAAAGAAAGUCUAAAGACUUUCACAGAUACUGCAAGAGUGAUUAAUUGAAGGUGAACUGGAUACCUGGCCAUAGAUACAGGUGGAGCUAAACAGCACCUGCUAAAACAAUAUCCCUAUUGCUUUGGAAACAGCCAAGGCUCAGUAUACACCAGAUUUGGCUAUUCUAAUGAGGAUUUCAUCAAAACUCCCAACAGUUUUAUUUACUCUUCUCUUCAUUAUCUUAGUGACCACACUACUUCUUUUCACAACCAUAGCGAGGGUGGCAAUCCAGUGUUUUACAUGAACAUGGACUUCCAUCCAUUAUUCAAUUUUAGCAGCAACAUUUAUUGUCAAAUGAUUCAUGAGAACACUGUGUAACUGGGUCAAAGUACAAUGAACUUGGUGGGGAUGGGAAAGGCACAGACUCUUUCCUGCUGCUAAAGAGGAAAUGGGGAAGGGUCAUCAUCUACAUCAAAGUAUUCCAUUGUUUCAGCUACUAUGGAAUCUGGAAUCAAGGACUUUGAUAUUGUCUAUGUAUCCAGACCACUUGGAACGCUUUCCAGCUGCAGCAUUGGGACCUUAAUAAACGAACCAUAUUAUGUUUAUACUUCACUGUUUAAGUAAUGCUAUUUCACUCUGUGUAAAGCCACUUAAAACACCAGUGGAAACACAUGCAUGGACCAUGAAACAACUUUAAAUGGAUAAUCAAUUUUUAUCACAUAUUGGAGGUUAGACUGGUAUAUCUGAGUGAAUUAUGAAAGUCUGUAUGUGAUUCUAGCUGGGAGUGGUUGCAUACCAAAUCUUUGUCUUUGCUACAAAUUGGUCUGUAGUGAGAUAAUUGGGAGAUUCCAAAUCUAACACUUUGUUCUUUAAAAACACAAUAUAUUUUAUUUGGACAUACAUGUGAAGGAUUUUAUUAGGCUUACUAGGACAACCUUAAUUCUUUAGUAUAGCAAUUCUCUCCUAAGAUGGAAGAUAUGUGAUUGACAUAUUUCUAAGGCACUGAAAAGUUAUGAGCAGCAUGAUCAUGAGCUAAACUGUAUGGGGCAUUCUAAAACAUAUGAGACAUGGUUUUAGAAAAAAAAAAGAACAUGAGCAAUGGUGGUACAUGCCUUUAAUCCCAGCACUCAGGAGGCAGAGAGAGGUGAAUCUCUGCAAGUUUGCAGCCAGCCUAGUCUACACAGUAGUGAAUUUCAAGACAGUCAGAGUUACCUAGUAAGACCCUGUCUCAAAAACAAAACAAAAAAAUGAAAAGAAAAAACCACGAGAAACCUGUUUUUGAAACGACUAGUAAGCAUGUGAAACUCAUUAUACCUGAGCACGAUGAAAAGGUGAAUGGAGUCAAGGUAAAUUUGAACCAAUUACUGCAUAACAGAACCUAAAAGUUCAAGGAGAAAUUAGGCAAGUUCAAGUUAAUAUUCAUUAACUAUGGAGGAGUAUUUCAUGGAUGCAAAUUGCCUCAUUCUUACAAAACACUGGCAUCACCUUGGAAGAUAGCAGAGCUUCUUGGGCCACUGACUUGACACAAUAAGUUUUCUUCCAUUAACCAGGGGAUAUUGAAAAUGCCAGAUUACCUUAAAGCCCUGAACUACCAAGAAGCUACCAGCUCUUUCAUCUUCUAUCUUUAAAACAUUUGUUGUCCCCAAAGUGAAUGAUGAAGUGGAGAAGGAACCUUGAAACUGUUACCAUUCCUAUGCUACACACACACAGCACAGUCCCCCCUUUCUCUUUCACACACACACACACACACACACACACACACACACACACACACACACACACACACACUUGUGAACUAGCAGUUCCUAAAACACCUUCCAAAAUCAAUAUUAUGCUCUGUUUAUGAGGACCCAGAAUAGUAGAGCUCUAGACCAAACUCGAUUGUUUAAUAAAAUGUCACAUCCAAACACUGAUUCACUGAGUCAGCCUUUUUUCCCUGACUCUAAGACAAACACUAGGUUCAGGAUUAUCAAUCCAACCAACAACUUCUAUUAUCAUUUGGUUUUGUCUUCUAAAACUCAAAAUCCAGUGAAUUUUUACUGAGUGACAGUUCAAGUCAGACUAUUCCAAUCAAAUUCCCUCCAUUCUAUUUACUAUUUGGCCGUUUGACACUUUCAUAGAGAACCAUGGAUGCAGCACAUGUUCCUAAAACUUAAGCCUGUACAUCAUGACACAUUUAAAUCAAGAGUUCUGAUGCUAUAAAAUAUGACUUUGUGAAUGUGAUCAUUUUAUUCUAUAUUUAUCGAUUUCAUUAAAUCAUGGAUUUUUAAAGUGACAGUCUGACCUGUAACAAAUGGUUAGACAUAUCACAUAUAUUAAUGUUCAACCACUCAUGAGAAAGAACACCCUAACUUUGUUGUAGGACUUCAUUCACACAGACUUUUUCUAACCUCCGAUAUUUUUCCAUAUGUUCAUAAUCCUUUUAGACCCUAUUUCUAUAACUUCUGCCCUCUCCUUUGUGGUUAGCAAUUAAAACCAGCAAACAAUUAGCAUUGUAAAGUCUUUUACGUUCUUGCAUCAGUUCUUACAUUCUCACUCUAAUCUACUAAGAUGGCUCAGUGGCAAACAAUAACACAUGAAUAAAUUCAUUCUUUUGUUCAAAAUCACUAAUUAUCUAAAUGUCUUAUGGUACAGGGAUAGUUGAAGAAAGGUUACAAAUAUUUUAAGCUAUAAUUAGACUGGGAAGCAAAACAUAUAGCACAAUCAUAAAAUUGUAAAAUAUAAUACUAAUAAGAAAAAUAGCAUAAUUUGCACACACAAAUGUAGUAAGGGCACAGAUGAAAUUUCUGUUUCAAGUAAGAAAAAUAAUUUAUAUAUCAUAGUAAUUAGUCCAAUAAAAACAUAUAUUGUAGAUAUAUAUCUAAAUAUGUAGGAAUAUGCACAUACAUGUGUUUAGACAUUCCUAUUUCAGAUUUCAUUAGUAAUCCAGUAUUUUUCUAGUUGUGGUAUCCACUGUCAUUUUAAUUUUUUAAUUCCCUAGUUGGAGUCUGAUAAUAAUAUCCCACGGUAUUAAAAAGUUAUAAAUUAUCAAGAAAUAAAAGAAAAUCCUCCCAAUUAGGGAAAUACCUAAAUGAUCUUUGUCUUUGCCUAAUAUAUAUUAGCAUAAGUAUGAGGCUAAUAUUAUAUAUUAACAUGUGUUUUAUUAUGAUUUUAUAUAUUAUAUAAACCUCAUAUGUAACAGCAGACCAAAACUAAAAAUGCAAAAUUACAGUGUUCUGACCUAAUGUUCUUCAGUCCCAAGUAUCCAAAUCUUGACACACUUAUAACAUUCAUUUGACGAAUAAUAGUAUUUUAGUACACUUGGUAAUGCACAUGUUUUUUAUCUACCAUAAAGAGCUGUGUUUCUUCAAUUGAUUUAUAUACCACCUGGACAAAAUUAUUUUUUAUUAUGGUUUAUUUCAUUUUUCCAGCAUCCUCAACUUUAAAAUACUUGUAAACUGCCAAUGGAACAGUGACAAUGAUGAACAAAGAAUAGCCUUGGUGUUCAAUAUCCAAAGUCCACACUUCUUAAGAGAACUUCCAGUGAUUAAUGCUUUCAAACUAGCAGGGUCAGGUUAAAAAUCAAGCAACAAUCUGUCUUGUACUUCAUCAUACAAAAAAUUCACAGACUGGUUUAAAGUUUCCCCAAAGAGGUAACCAUUUGGGUCUAGAGUUUGCAUAAGGGACUUAUAAAGGAACUUGCCAAACAAUAGAAAAAUGAUCAUUACAUAGUAAUGAGGGGUGUUAAUGAUAUUUUCUAAUCAUAUGACCUCAUUUCCUGAAUUAUACUAUGUCUACAUCCUGAACAAAAAGACACAGAGAGUAUUCUACUCUUUCUAAUUUAAAAAUACUUCUUUAUCAAUUGAAAUGAUAUUCUUCACAUAUCACUCUGUGGAAUAUUGUUUUGAUGACUUCUACUGAAUUUUCUCAGUACUUUUUUGACAUGAAAUUGCAUCAUGUUAAAGCCAACAAUUCACUGAAUGUUUGGGAAACAUCACAAAUGUUUGAGGCUAUGUGCCUAAUGAAUGUAACAUGGACUCAUUUUAUCCCCCUUUAUUGGAAUUGCUUUGAAUUUUAAACAGUUGUUAGCCAUUAACUACACUUUAUACCUAAUUCCGCAUAUGUGUAUAUGUGUUUUAGAUUCCAUGUGUAAAAUUAACUUAUUUGGGAUCAUAUGCAUUUACUGAUUAUUUUUGCAUGGCAACUACUAUUGUUGACUUCCUCAAGAUAGAACAGUUAGUUCUGACCUAAAUGAAACAGAUUAAUUAAACUUCGUAUUCAAAGAUACCUUUGGUGGCUUUCCAAAUCACUCAAGCAAACUUUUGGAGAAUCUUCUCUAAUGAAUCCAUUUCUUUUCCCCUGAUUAGCUUUAAGUCCCACCUAGUCUAACAUUUACAUUGUCAUGAUCUCUUCUUCAAAAUCUGGUAGUAUUAGUUUUUUUAACAAAUUCUGUAAAGUCAACCAAAAUAAGCAUGCUAAUGACAAAUAUAAGUCAUAACAUGCUUCCUCAAACAUGCAUAUGAGCACACACACAAGAUAGGUAUUUCUUGACUCAAAAACAACAAACCUAUGAGUGUCCUUAUGGUCCCAGCUGAUAUCAGGGAAUAACUUGAGAGGCUGCAAGUCUUAAGUCUUACUUGUGAUGCCAUAAGAGUUUUUGUCAAACUUCCAGUGUCCUUUUAACUCAGAUUGAUUCAUAGUCUUUGAAAAGAGGGGGAAGGGUCAGGUGUUUUAAAUUCCACAAACUGACAUUCCCAUUAAUAAGGUGUAGAUUUACAGAAAAAUUUACAAAGAAACUACAUGUAUAUCUCCCAUACAUCAGUCUACAUGUUCAGAGUCAUGACAUUAAAUUACUCUCUUUAGUGUUUAGGAUAAGGUACAGUGUUUUAAACUGCAUUGCAAAUUAUCCAGUAGAUUAUAAAGCCUUCCAGACAUGUACCACAAAAGUGAAUCAAGUCUCAAUCCCAGAAACAGUAACCGUAUUACCUAUAGCACAAAGUAUGUAUAGCACAUGUAGAAAUGUUUAUCUGGAUAAUCUAAUUAAUUGCUAGAAGCCAGUUCUCAGAAUAUCACCAGCUGGAUCAUGAAAUUGUGCUUGGUGGGUUGCAGUACUUCUCAAGAUACUCAUAACAAAUAGAAGCCCAUUCUCUGUGGACAAGCCUUGGCAAAUAUGCUUUGGAUUUCAAACAGCCAAAAGAAUAGUUCUUAUUCUUCCACUGAACAGUGAAUUUUCUCUACAUUUACAAAGAAUCUCCUACACUUAAAGCUGUGUAGUUUAUGGGGGAAGAGGACAACACACAGCAACCAAGGAGAACACAAAAUCAGAAAGGCCCAAAUGGAAAUGAGAAUUCAGACGCAGCAGAGACAUUGUUUGGCCCAAGAGCUCACGGAUGACUCUGUAAAAAAUUUUUCAGUUUGCUUAUACCUUAAAUGAUGGGUGUGAAUACCUUGGGAGUAGGGAAUGGGCGUUUGGGAACAAAAGUAACAAUACAAGUACAAAAUUAUUGAAUAAUACAGUAUUAUUGGAGCAUGGCAUACAUGAUGGAGCCAGAAAGGAUCACAUAGCUGAGAGCCUACAUAAGGAUCUCAAGAUCAUAGGUUGGAGAAGCAAGUGAGCAAUGGCGACAUAUAAGGUUUUUAUUAUUGUUUUUAAUCUAUUUUAUUAUGGUGAAAUAUAACAGAAAUUCAGGAAAUUACAUCAAUCAUGUUCAGCUAAGGGAAUUAUCAUAAAUGCAUUUAGAAAUAGGAAUAUUACUGGGAAGCCCCCUCCUCAUGUGCCCUCCCAUCCCAGUGUUAUAAUCUCAAAGGUCACCACUAGACUGAUCUUUGUGAUAAUGAAGCAUGAAUUUCUCAAACAUCAUUUAGUUUUGUUGCUUUAUGAAUUUUGUGGAAGUGCAAUUGUGUAUUAUGAAUUAUCUUGUGCCUGGAUUCUUACAAUGUUGUUUUGUGAGCGUUCCCCGUGUUGUUGUGGAAGCUGUACUUCACCUAUUUUCAUUGCUAUGGAGUGUUCCUUUACACAAAUAAACCAUAUUGAUCCA
RNAcentral lists this long non-coding RNA (6504 nucleotides) under Cricetulus griseus (Chinese hamster). RNAcentral describes it as "lncRNA (ENSCGRG00015038291.1)". The record is from RNAcentral. Lineage: Eukaryota; Metazoa; Chordata; Mammalia; Rodentia; Cricetidae.